RNAcentral lists this ribosomal RNA (507 nucleotides) under Eucephalobus striatus. RNAcentral describes it as "SSU rRNA". It matches the Rfam family "Eukaryotic small subunit ribosomal RNA", at positions 88 to 590 of the family's 1831-position model. Lineage: Eukaryota; Metazoa; Nematoda; Chromadorea; Rhabditida; Cephalobidae. The record is from RNAcentral.
CGCGAAUGGCUCAUUAUAACAGCUAACAAAUCUACUUGAUCUUGACACAAUCCUACUUGGAUAACUGUGGUAAUUCUAGAGCUAAUACAUGCAUUAAAGCUCUGACCUUCGGGGAAGAGUGCAUUUAUUAGAACAAAACCAAGCGGCUUCGGCUGUUUUCGGUUGACUCAUAGUAACUGAGCUGAUCGCAUGGUCUUGCACCGGCGACGUGUCUUUCGAGUAUCUGCCGUAUCAACUCUCGAUGGUAGUGUAUCUGACUACCAUGGUGAUCACGCGUAACGGAGAAUAAGGGUUCGACUCCGGAGAGUUCGCCUGAGAAAUCGCGAACACAUCUAAGGAAGGCAGCAGGCGCGAAAAUUACCCACUCUCAGCACGAGGAGGUAGUGACGAAAAAUAACGAGACCGUUCUCUUAUGAGGCCGGUCAUCGGAAUGGGUACAAUUUAAACCCUUUAACGAGUAUCUAUGAGAGGGCAAGUCUGGUGCCAGCAGCCGCGGUAAUUCCAGCU